UCCAACCUGCCGAUAACUCCGGAAUAGCCUUUCGAAAGAAAGAUUAAUACCGGAUGGCAUACGAAUAUCGCAUGAUAUUUUUAUUAAAGAAUUUCGGUUAUCGAUGGGGAUGCGUUCCAUUAGUUUGUUGGCGGGGUAACGGCCCACCAAGACUACGAUGGAUAGGGGUUCUGAGAGGAAGGUCCCCCACAUUGGAACUGAGACACGGUCCAAACUCCUACGGGAGGCAGCAGUGAGGAAUAUUGGUCAAUGGGCGAGAGCCUGAACCAGCCAAGUAGCGUGAAGGAUGAAGGCUCUAUGGGUCGUAAACUUCUUUUAUAUGGGAAUAAAGUAUUCCACGUGUGGAAUUUUGUAUGUACCAUAUGAAUAAGGAUCGGCUAACUCCGUGCCAGCAGCCGCGGUAAUACGGAGGAUCCGAGCGUUAUCCGGAUUUAUUGGGUUUAAAGGGAGCGUAGGUGGAUUGUUAAGUCAGUUGUGAAAGUUUGCGGCUCAACCGUAAAAUUGCAGUUGAAACUGGCAGUCUUGAGUACAGUAGAGGUGGGCGGAAUUCGUGGUGUAGCGGUGAAAUGCUUAGAUAUCACGAAGAACUCCGAUUGCGAAGGCAGCUCACUAGACUGUUACUGACACUGAUGCUCGAAAGUGUGGGUAUCAAACAGGAUUAGAUACCCUGGUAGUCCACACAGUAAACGAUGAAUACUCGCUGUUUGCGAUAUACAGUAAGCGGCCAAGCGAAAGCAUUAAGUAUUCCACCUGGGGAGUAC
This 761-nucleotide ribosomal RNA is filed under the name uncultured bacterium. RNAcentral's name for it is "bacterial SSU rRNA". It matches the Rfam family "Bacterial small subunit ribosomal RNA", at positions 120 to 883 of the family's 1533-position model. The record is from RNAcentral.